GUCCUCAUAGCUUAAUGGAUAGAGCACUGGUUUCCGGAACCAGCGAUGGAGGUUCGAGUCCUCUUGAGGACG
RNAcentral lists this transfer RNA (72 nucleotides) under Candidatus Woesebacteria bacterium. Its description in RNAcentral is "tRNA-Arg". It matches the Rfam family "tRNA". From Rfam's summary of the family: Transfer RNA (tRNA) molecules are approximately 80 nucleotides in length. Their secondary structure includes four short double-helical elements and three loops (D, anti-codon, and T loops). Lineage: Bacteria; Candidatus Woeseibacteriota. The record is from RNAcentral.